Molecule: ribosomal RNA, 492 nt
Filed under: uncultured bacterium
Lineage: Bacteria
Description: partial 16S ribosomal RNA
Rfam family: Bacterial small subunit ribosomal RNA
Source: RNAcentral
AGUGAACGCUGGCGGUAGGCCUAACACAUGCAAGUCGAACGGCAGCACAGUAAGAGCUUGCUCUUACGGGUGGCGAGUGGCGGACGGGUGAGGAAUACAUCGGAAUCUACUUUUUCGUGGGGGAUAACGUAGGGAAACUUACGCUAAUACCGCAUACGACCUACGGUUUAAAUCAGGGGAUCUUCUGACCUUGCGCGAUUGAUUGAGCCGAUGUCGGAUUAGCUAGUUGGCGGGGUAAAGGCCCACCAAGGCGACGAUCCGUAGCUGGUCUGAGAGGAUGAUAAGCAAGACUGGAACUGAGACACGGUCAAGACUACGACGGGAGGCAGCAGUGGGGAAUAUUGGACAAUGGGCGAAAGCAUGAUCCAGCCAAACCGCGUGGGUGAAGAAGGACUUCGGGUUGUAAAGCCCUUUUGUUGGGAAAGAAAAGAAGCAGGUUAAUACCCCGCUGUUAUGACGGUACCCAAAGAAUAAGCACCGGCUAACUUCGUG